GGAUGGUAGGUGUGCACAUGCCUCCAAGAAGGCCAGCGACAACCACACCAAAUUCAUUCAAAAUACCCCUUCCGUAGGUGAACCUGCGGAAGGAUCAUU
Molecule: ribosomal RNA, 99 nt
Filed under: Hebeloma sp. 'Seebeck P1'
Lineage: Eukaryota; Fungi; Basidiomycota; Agaricomycetes; Agaricales; Hymenogastraceae
Description: partial 18S ribosomal RNA
Source: RNAcentral